RNAcentral lists this ribosomal RNA (252 nucleotides) under uncultured bacterium. Its description in RNAcentral is "partial 16S ribosomal RNA". It matches the Rfam family "Bacterial small subunit ribosomal RNA", at positions 524 to 776 of the family's 1533-position model. The record is from RNAcentral.
UACGGAGGAUGCGAGCGUUAUCCGGAUUUAUUGGGUUUAAAGGGUGCGUAGGCGGUUCGUUAAGUCAGCGGUAAAAUUGCGGGGCUCAACCCCGUCGAGCCGUUGAAACUGGCAGACUUGAGUUGGCGAGAAGUACGCGGAAUGCGCGGUGUAGCGGUGAAAUGCAUAGAUAUCGCGCAGAACUCCGAUUGCGAAGGCAGCCUUCCGGCGCCCUACUGACGCUGAGGCACGAAAGUGCGGGGAUCGAACAGG